UGCCUGUGCCUCCUCUGCGCAGGGCUCCCGGGAGCCGGGGGAGAUGCUGCCCCGGAAGCUGAAGCA
Mustela putorius furo (domestic ferret) is the source of this 66-nucleotide small nucleolar RNA. The record is from Ensembl. Lineage: Eukaryota; Metazoa; Chordata; Mammalia; Carnivora; Mustelidae.